ACAUGGCCAUGUGAACGAUGAUUGCCGAACAUAAUCGGGUUGCUGAGACCGAGGUCAUACAAAGAUGGAAACUGGCGGAGCGCACGUUCCGAUGGGGUCCAACAGUUCACAAAUAUGGCGGAUAAACCCGAUUGUGGUGUUUGGGAUCUCUCGAAGCUAAGAAAUGCUUUGCGAGAGCGAGGUGCAAGAGUUUCAGGAAGGAAUAGAGAAUUGAUAGAACGGUGGAAAAGGUGCUCUGCUGUGUUCUGGGUGGUUUUGGCUUCAUCACAGGACAUUCGGUUCCAUCGAUGAUCACCCUAGUAGUAGGAAACUGCUUGUUGAAGUCAGUUGGUGUAUAAUACUUGACAAGAUCUCUCUCUGGCCACAAGUCAACUUCUCUCCACUGGUGAAACAUAAAAUUCACCCAUGUAAUCCAGAUAUUGGAUACAGAGACCUCUGAAAUGCUAAAAAGCCUACUCAGUUCAAAGUUAAUCUUAUGCUGUCUAAGCUUGAUCAGCGUUAAAAAAAAACUGAUCAGGAACACUCACAUUAUCUACCUGAGAAUAUAGAUAAUUAAGAUUGUAUGCAGCUUCACCAAGGGUCCGCAGGACAAAUAAAAACAAUUGAUACGAAGAAAGACCAGUAUAAAACAUAAUACCAGCAUUGUCAUUGACAAAGUUUUCAAUACUAAAAAUGGGUCUUUGUGGCGUCUGUGUGCUGGAGUUCACUGGAAAUGAUUGGGGGGUUGGGGGGUUGGAGUUACUUGGUGCAAAAGAGAAGAGUAGUGCAUUAGGAUGAACAUCUGCCGCAAUGGUGACUUCACUCUCCACAUUACACAUAUAAUCUUCAUUUGGAAGGAAAGAUGCACCAUCAGCUUCACCGCCCAUGUCCUCAACUGCUGUGUCAGUGUUGAUGUACCCCCUUCCAGACCUAAAUGUGCCAUUUUCAGAUUCUUUGAAUGACUGCUUACAUUGUCGCCAUGGAAAGAUACUUGGGACAGCAUGGUCUUUUAGCUGUUUCUUCCUUGGUGUAGUACCUAUUAUAUGGAUGGAAAUCUUAACAAUUCUGAAGUUUAAGCAUUAAAUAUACAUUCAAUUGAUAUUGUUUAUAGUAUUCUUGAUCAUAGUUUACUUUAUAAUACUGAAAAUGAAGAUUACAACUUGAA
Ostrea edulis (European flat oyster) is the source of this 1144-nucleotide long non-coding RNA. RefSeq lists it as uncharacterized. Lineage: Eukaryota; Metazoa; Mollusca; Bivalvia; Ostreida; Ostreidae. The record is from RefSeq and is a predicted model, not a curated record. The transcript has 3 exons.